RNAcentral lists this ribosomal RNA (403 nucleotides) under uncultured bacterium. Its description in RNAcentral is "partial 16S ribosomal RNA". It matches the Rfam family "Bacterial small subunit ribosomal RNA", at positions 28 to 526 of the family's 1533-position model. The record is from RNAcentral.
GACGAACGCUGGCGGCGUGCCUAAUACAUGCAAGUCGAACGCAGUGGGGACGGGGGAGGAACACGUGGGUAACCUCCCAUCAGAGGGGAUAACACUUGGAAACUGGUGCUAAACCGAUACUGAUGGAUGGACCCGCGGUGCAGUAGCUAGUUGGUGAGGUAACGGCUCACCAAGGCGACGAUGCAUAGGCGACCUGCGAGGAUGAUCGGCCACAUGGGGACUGAGCAACGGCCAAGACUCCUACGGGAGGCAGCAGGAGGGAAUGUUCGGCAAUGGGCGAAAGUCUGACCGAGCCACGCCGCGUGAGUGAAGAAGGCAUUAGGAUUGUAAACCUCUUUAGGUAGAGAAGCGUUAUCCAACGAGAAAGCCACGGCUAACUACGUGCCAGCAGCCGCGGUAAUUC